UACGGGGGGAGCAAGCGUUGUUCGGAUUCACUGGGCGUAAAGGGUGCGUAGGUGGUGGGGUAAGUCGGAUGUGAAAGCUCGGAGCUCAACUCCGAAAUGGCAUUGGAAACUACCCUGCUAGAGGAUUGGAGGGGGGACUGGAAUACUUGGUGUAGCAGUGAAAUGCGUAGAUAUCAAGUGGAACACCAGUGGCGAAGGCGAGUCCCUGGACAAUUCCUGACACUGAGGCACGAAAGCUAGGGGAGCAAACAGG
RNAcentral lists this ribosomal RNA (253 nucleotides) under uncultured bacterium. RNAcentral describes it as "partial 16S ribosomal RNA". It matches the Rfam family "Bacterial small subunit ribosomal RNA", at positions 524 to 776 of the family's 1533-position model. The record is from RNAcentral.